RNAcentral lists this microRNA (22 nucleotides) under Alligator mississippiensis (American alligator). Its description in RNAcentral is "ami-miR-9599-3p". Lineage: Eukaryota; Metazoa; Chordata; Crocodylia; Alligatoridae. The record is from miRBase by way of RNAcentral.
UUAAUCUAUAGGUGCAAAUCGA